This 380-nucleotide ribosomal RNA is filed under the name uncultured bacterium. RNAcentral's name for it is "partial 16S ribosomal RNA". It matches the Rfam family "Bacterial small subunit ribosomal RNA", at positions 338 to 716 of the family's 1533-position model. The record is from RNAcentral.
CCUACGGGAGGCUGCAGUGAGGAAUAUUGGUCAAUGGACGAGAGUCUGAACCAGCCAAGUAGCGUGAAGGAUGACUGCCCUAUGGGUUGUAAACUUCUUUUAUAGGGGAAUAAAAUGUGCCACGUGUGGGAUUUUGUAUGUACCAUAUGAAUAAGGAUCGGCUAACUCCGUGCCAGCAGCCGCGGUAAUACGGAGGAUCCGAGCGUUAUCCGGAUUAAUGGGUUUAAAGGGAGAUUAGGUGGAUUGUUAAGUCAGUUGUGAAUGUUUUCGGCUCAACCGUACAAUGGCCGUUGAAACUGGCAUUCUUGAGUCCAGUAGAGGUCUGCGGAAUUCGUGGUGUAGCGGUGAAAUGCUUAGAUAUCACGAAGAACUCCGAUUGC